RNAcentral lists this ribosomal RNA (467 nucleotides) under uncultured bacterium. Its description in RNAcentral is "partial 16S ribosomal RNA". It matches the Rfam family "Bacterial small subunit ribosomal RNA", at positions 29 to 507 of the family's 1533-position model. The record is from RNAcentral.
ACGAACGCUGGCGGCGUGCUUAACACAUGCAAGUCGCACGGAAAGGCCCUGCUUUUGUGGGGUGCUCGAGUGGCGAACGGGUGAGUAACACGUGAGUAACCUGCCCUUGACUUUGGGAUAACUUCAGGAAACUUGGGCUAAUACCGGAUAGGAGCUCCUGCUGCAUGGUGGGGGUUGGAAAGUUUCGGCGGUUGGGGAUUGACUCGCGGCUUAUCAGCUUGUUGGUGGGGUAGUGGCUUACCAAGGCUUUGACGGGUAGCCGGCCUGAGAGGGUGACCGGCCGCAUUGGGACUGAGAUACGGCCCAGACUCCUACGGGAGGCAGCAGUGGGGAAUAUUGCACAAUGGGCGGAAGCCUGAUGCAGCAACGCCGCGUGCGGGAUGACGGCCUUCGGGUUGUAAACCGCUUUCGCCUGUGACGAAGCGUGAGUGACGGUAAUGGGUAAAGAAGCACCGGCUAACUACGUG